ACCAAGAGGGCUGCACUCACCUGAACAUGCAUACAUUAUAGGAUGUAUGCAUGUUCAGGUGAGUGCAGCCCUCUUGGU
Pelobates cultripes (western spadefoot toad) is the source of this 78-nucleotide non-coding RNA. NCBI's taxonomy places the organism in Eukaryota, Metazoa, Chordata, Amphibia, Anura, Pelobatidae. The record is from the annotation of a GenBank genome assembly.